Molecule: ribosomal RNA, 433 nt
Filed under: uncultured bacterium
Lineage: Bacteria
Description: partial 16S ribosomal RNA
Rfam family: Bacterial small subunit ribosomal RNA
Source: RNAcentral
AACGAACGCUGGCGGCAUGCCUAACACAUGCAAGUCGAACGAGACCUUCGGGUCUAGUGGCGCACGGGUGCGUAACGCGUGGGAACCUGCCCUUAGGUUCGGAAUAACUCCCCGAAAGGAGUGCUAAUACCGGAUAAUGUCUUCGGACCAAAGAUUUAUCGCCUUUGGAUGGGCCCGCGUUGGAUUAGCUAGUUGGUAGGGUAAAAGCCUACCAAGGCGACGAUCCAUAGCUGGUCUGAGAGGAUGAUCAGCCACACUGGGACUGAGACACGGCCCAGACUCCUACGGGAGGCAGCAGUGGGGAAUAUUGGACAAUGGGCGAAAGCCUGAUCCAGCAAUGCCGCGUGAGUGAUGAAGGCCUUAGGGUUGUAAAGCUCUUUUACCCGGGAUGAUAAUGACAGUACCGGGAGAAUAAGCUCCGGCUAACUACGUG